RNAcentral lists this ribosomal RNA (349 nucleotides) under uncultured bacterium. Its description in RNAcentral is "bacterial SSU rRNA". It matches the Rfam family "Bacterial small subunit ribosomal RNA", at positions 917 to 1267 of the family's 1533-position model. The record is from RNAcentral.
GGGCCCGCACAAGCGGUGGAUUAUGUGGAUUAAUUCGAUGCAACGCGAAAAACCUUACCUGGCCUUGACAUGUACCGAAUUUAGCAGAGAUGCUUUAGUGCUCGAAAGAGAACGGUAACACAGGUGCUGCAUGGCUGUCGUCAGCUCGUGUCGUGAGAUGUUGGUUAAGUCCCGCAACGAGCGCAACCCUUGCCAUUAAUUGCCAUCAUUUAGUUGGGCACUUUAAUGGGACUGCCGGUGACAAACCGGAGGAAGGUGGGAUGACGUCAAGUCCUCAUGGCCCUUAUGGCCAGGGCUUCACACGUAAUACAAUGCUACGGACAAAGGGCUGCAAGUUCGCGAGGACAAG